Belonocnema kinseyi is the source of this 542-nucleotide long non-coding RNA. RefSeq lists it as uncharacterized. The record is from RefSeq and is a predicted model, not a curated record. The transcript has 2 exons. Lineage: Eukaryota; Metazoa; Arthropoda; Insecta; Hymenoptera; Cynipidae.
ACCCAAGCUCGUCCGACUUCACGAUUCGCUUUUGGUAGUUUUUAGGAAGUUCUUAGGUGAACAGAACUUUGCAGGGAAUCAAGAGAAUGCAAGAAAGUUCUGGCGGAUGCACCACGUAGAGGUCGUCAAUCAGAUUAAAAUGCCUAUCUUUAUUUACACUAAAGUUGCAUUCGGAUUGGCGAUUUGGUCAAAUCCGUACAUCUUUGGAUCAAGUUUAUCACAGUUUCCACGUUUGCGCAUAAAACUUCAAAUGGAUUCAAGUGUCAAAAAAGUAUAGGUUAUGUCAUGUAGUAAUUACAAAUAAUAAAAGUGUUUAAUUAAUAAUGAAGUGAGAUAUGUGGACUUAGAAGAAAACGUCCAUUUUGUUGUGCCAAUAACACUAUGGAUGGCUGCUGGGUGACAAAUACUACAAAAUAAUAAUAAUAAUAUUUGGUGCUUCCAGUAGGCGAAGAGUCAAUUGUUUUUAGCACUAAUUUGCGGCAUAAAAAAGCUAUUUUAUGAAUAUAAAGGUUCUGUUGUAAAUAAAGUGAAAAAAUAUUUAA